This 253-nucleotide ribosomal RNA is filed under the name uncultured bacterium. RNAcentral's name for it is "partial 16S ribosomal RNA". It matches the Rfam family "Bacterial small subunit ribosomal RNA", at positions 524 to 776 of the family's 1533-position model. The record is from RNAcentral.
UACGUAGGGGGCAAGCAUUGUUCGGAAUUACUGGGCGUAAAGGGCGCGUAGGCGGCACAGCAAGUCGGGAGUGAAAGCCCGGGGCUCAACCCCGGAAUGGCUUUCGAAACUGCUGAGCUAGAGUACAGAAGGGGCAACCGGAAUUCCCAGUGUAGCGGUGAAAUGCGUAGAUAUUGGGAAGAACACCUGAGGCGAAGGCGGGUUGCUGGGCUGAUACUGACGCUGAGGCGCGAAAGCCAGGGGAGCAAACGGG